GAUGCCGGACCAAAUUUUAAAUGGAAGCAGAAUAAGAGGGGAAGAGAAGGAGGAAGAAGAAGAGAAGAAGGAGAAGGGAGGAGAAGAGAAGAAGAGGAAAACGUGGGGGAAAGAAAUUCUUAAUUCUUCAUUGACCCUAAUCAACAUAAAAAUUCCCUAUAAAUAGGGCCCAAUAAGAACAAUUAAAAUAAAACCCCUUACACAAAAUAGAACCCACAAAUAAGCCCUAAAAUGCAAAUGAGUCCCGAAAUAAAAUAAACCACAAAUAAACCCCUAAAUGCAAAUAAACCCAGAAAUAAAAUAAACAAAUAUGCAAAUAAGAUGGGGACCUAGCUG
RNAcentral lists this long non-coding RNA (336 nucleotides) under Phoenix dactylifera (date palm). RNAcentral's name for it is "long non-coding RNA (PDAC_LNC005082)". The record is from RNAcentral. Lineage: Eukaryota; Viridiplantae; Streptophyta; Magnoliopsida; Arecales; Arecaceae.